Arvicanthis niloticus (Nile rat) is the source of this 140-nucleotide small nucleolar RNA. RefSeq annotates it as small nucleolar RNA SNORA48. Lineage: Eukaryota; Metazoa; Chordata; Mammalia; Rodentia; Muridae. The record is from RefSeq and is a predicted model, not a curated record.
UACCCUGGCAAUGGGCAAAGAGACACAUUGGUGGUGUUAUUCUUUUAUCAGUCAGGGGCAGAGGAGAUGGCAAUCCUUUGUUCAUCCUAGUUUGGUGUCUGGCUUGGUGGCCAAAGCUGCCUUAUGCCUAAGUCUCAUGA